UCGAAGCAGUCUAUGUCAUACUUCCAAGAAGAGCUUGCACUGUCAUAAACAAAUAAUGCCUGUACCAUAACCGACACAGGUGGGUAGGUAGAGUAUACUAAGGGGCGCGAGAUAACUCUCUCUAAGGAACUCGGCAAAAUGACUCCGUAACUUCGGGAGAAGGAGUGCCUUAUUUAUAAGGUUGCAAUAACAAGAUCCAAGCAACUGUUUAUCAAAAACACAGGUCUCCGCUAAGUCGUAAGACGAUGUAUGGGGGCUGACGCCUGCCCAGUGCCAGAAGGUUAAAGAAGUUGGUUAGUGUAUGCGAAGCUGAUGACUGAAGCCCUGGUGAACGGCGGCCGUAACUAUAACGGUCCUAAGGUAGCGAAAUUCCUUGUCGGGUAAGUUCCGACCCGCACGAAAGGCGUAAUGAUUUGGAUACUGUCUCGGAGAGAGGCUCGGUGAAAUAGACUUGUCUGUGAAGAUGCGGACUACCUGCACCAGGACAGAAAGACCCUAUGAAGCUUUACUGUAACUUGAAAUUGGAAUUGGACUUUGCUUGCGCAGUAUAGGUGGGAAGCGUUGAAGAUAUUCUUGCGGGAGUAUUGGAGCUAUCAGUGAGAUACCACUCUUGUAAUGUUAGAUUUCUAACUUUGAACCAUAAUCUGGUCAAAGAACAGUUUCAGGUGGGCAGUUUGACUGGGGCGGUCGCCUCCCAAAUGGUAACGGAGGCGUACAAAGGUUUCCUCUGAACGGAUAGAAAUCGUAUCUAGAGUGUAAAGGCAUAAGGAAGCUUGACUGUGAGACCUACAAGUCGAGCAGGGACGAAAGUCGGUCUUAGUGAUCUGACGGUACUGAGUGGAAAGGCCGUCACUCAACGGAUAAAAGUUACUCUAAGGAUAACAGGCUGAUCUCCCCCAAGAGUUCACAUCGACGGGGAGGUUUGGCACCUCGAUGUCGGCUCAUCGCAUCCUGGGGCGGUAGUACGUCCCAAGGGUUGGGCUGUUCGCCCAUGAAAGCGGUACGCGAGCUGGGUUCAGAACGUCGUGAGACAGUUCGGUCCAUAUCCGGUGUAGGCGUUAGAAUAUUGAGAGGAGCCUUCUUUAGUACGAGAGGACCGAGAAGGACACACCGCUGGUGUACCAGUUAUCGUGCCAACGGUAAACGCUGGGUAGCUAUGUGUGGAGUGGAUAACCGCUGAAAGCUUCUAAGUGGGAAGCCCACCUCAAGAUGAG
RNAcentral lists this ribosomal RNA (1214 nucleotides) under metagenome. Its description in RNAcentral is "bacterial LSU rRNA". It matches the Rfam family "Bacterial large subunit ribosomal RNA", at positions 1585 to 2808 of the family's 2925-position model. The record is from RNAcentral.